This 1203-nucleotide ribosomal RNA is filed under the name Virgibacillus olivae. RNAcentral describes it as "bacterial SSU rRNA". It matches the Rfam family "Bacterial small subunit ribosomal RNA", at positions 48 to 1217 of the family's 1533-position model. The record is from RNAcentral. Lineage: Bacteria; Bacillati; Bacillota; Bacilli; Caryophanales; Bacillaceae.
CUAAUACAUGCAAGUCGAGCGCGGGAAGCAGGCAGAUCCUCUUCGGAGGUGACGCCUGUGGAACGAGCGGCGGACGGGUGAGUAACACGUGGGCAACCUGCCUGUAAGACUGGGAUAACCCCGGGAAACCGGGGCUAAUACCGGAUAAUACUUUUCGUUGCAUAACGAGAAGUUGAAAGGCGGCUUUUAGCUGUCACUUACAGAUGGGCCCGCGGCGCAUUAGCUAGUUGGUAAGGUAACGGCUUACCAAGGCGACGAUGCGUAGCCGACCUGAGAGGGUGAUCGGCCACACUGGGACUGAGACACGGCCCAGACUCCUACGGGAGGCAGCAGUAGGGAAUCUUCCGCAAUGGACGAAAGUCUGACGGAGCAACGCCGCGUGAGUGAUGAAGGUUUUCGGAUCGUAAAACUCUGUUGUCAGGGAAGAACAAGUGCCGUUCAAAUAGGGCGGCACCUUGACGGUACCUGACCAGAAAGCCCCGGCUAACUACGUGCCAGCAGCCGCGGUAAUACGUAGGGGGCAAGCGUUGUCCGGAAUUAUUGGGCGUAAAGCGCGCGCAGGCGGUCCUUUAAGUCUGAUGUGAAAGCCCACGGCUUAACCGUGGAGGGCCAUUGGAAACUGGAGGACUUGAGUACAGAAGAGGAGAGUGGAAUUCCACGUGUAGCGGUGAAAUGCGUAGAGAUGUGGAGGAACACCAGUGGCGAAGGCGACUCUCUGGUCUGUAACUGACGCUGAGGUGCGAAAGCGUGGGGAGCGAACAGGAUUAGAUACCCUGGUAGUCCACGCCGUAAACGAUGAGUGCUAGGUGUUAGGGGGUUUCCGCCCCUUAGUGCUGAAGUUAACGCAUUAAGCACUCCGCCUGGGGAGUACGGCCGCAAGGCUGAAACUCAAAAGAAUUGACGGGGGCCCGCACAAGCGGUGGAGCAUGUGGUUUAAUUCGAAGCAACGCGAAGAACCUUACCAGGUCUUGACAUCCUCUGCCAAUCCUAGAGAUAGGAUGUUCCCUUCGGGGACAGAGUGACAGGUGGUGCAUGGUUGUCGUCAGCUCGUGUCGUGAGAUGUUGGGUUAAGUCCCGCAACGAGCGCAACCCUUGAUCUUAGUUGCCAGCAUUUAGUUGGGCACUCUAAGGUGACUGCCGGUGACAAACCGGAGGAAGGUGGGGAUGACGUCAAAUCAUCAUGCCCCUUAUGACCGGGGCUAC